This 120-nucleotide ribosomal RNA is filed under the name Helianthus annuus (common sunflower). The record is from RNAcentral. Lineage: Eukaryota; Viridiplantae; Streptophyta; Magnoliopsida; Asterales; Asteraceae.
GGUUGCGAUCAUACCAGCACUAAUGCACCGGAUCCUAUCAGAACUCCGCAGUUAAGCCUGCUUGGGCGAGAGUAGUACUAGGAUGGGUGACCCCCUGGGAAGUCCUCGUGUUGCAACCCC